UGCCAGCAGCCGCGGUAAUACGGAGGGUGCGAGCGUUAAUCGGAAUUACUGGGCGUAAAGCGUGCGUAGGCGGUUUGUUAAGCAAGAUGUGAAAGCCCCGGGCUCAACCUGGGAACUGCAUUUUGAACUGGCAGGCUAGAGUUUUGUAGAGGGUGGUGGAAUUUCCAGUGUAGCGGUGAAAUGCGUAGAGAUUGGAAGGAACAUCAGUGGCGAAGGCGGCCACCUGGACAAAAACUGACGCUGAGGCACGAAAGCGUGGGGAGCAAACAGGAUUAGAUA
RNAcentral lists this ribosomal RNA (279 nucleotides) under uncultured bacterium. Its description in RNAcentral is "partial 16S ribosomal RNA". It matches the Rfam family "Bacterial small subunit ribosomal RNA", at positions 506 to 784 of the family's 1533-position model. The record is from RNAcentral.